GGGUUGUGAGGUUAAGCGACUAAGCGUACACGGUGGAUGCCCUGGCAGUCAGAGGCGAUGAAGGACGUGCUAAUCUGCGAUAAGCGUCGGUAAGGUGAUAUGAACCGUUAUAACCGGCGAUUUCCGAAUGGGGAAACCCAGUGUGUUUCGACACACUAUCAUUAACUGAAUCCAUAGGUUAAUGAGGCGAACCGGGGGAACUGAAACAUCUAAGUACCCCGAGGAAAAGAAAUCAACCGAGAUUCCCCCAGUAGCGGCGAGCGAACGGGGAGGAGCCCAGAGCCUGAAUCAGUGUGUGUGUUAGUGGAAGCGUCUGGAAAGGCGCGCGAUACAGGGUGACAGCCCCGUACACAAAAAUGCACAUGCUGUGAGCUCGAUGAGUAGGGCGGGACACGUGGUAUCCUGUCUGAAUAUGGGGGGACCAUCCUCCAAGGCUAAAUACUCCUGACUGACCGAUAGUGAACCAGUACCGUGAGGGAAAGGCGAAAAGAACCCCGGCGAGGGGAGUGAAAAAGAACCUGAAACCGUGUACGUACAAGCAGUGGGAGCACGCUUAGGCGUGUGACUGCGUACCUUUUGUAUAAUGGGUCAGCGACUUAUAUUCUGUAGCAAGGUUAACCGAAUAGGGGAGCCGAAGGGAAACCGAGUCUUAACUGGGCGUUAAGUUGCAGGGUAUAGACCCGAAACCCGGUGAUCUAGCCAUGGGCAGGUUGAAGGUUGGGUAACACUAACUGGAGGACCGAACCGACUAAUGUUGAAAAAUUAGCGGAUGACUUGUGGCUGGGGGUGAAAGGCCAAUCAAACCGGGAGAUAGCUGGUUCUCCCCGAAAGCUAUUUAGGUAGCGCCUCGUGAAUUCAUCUCCGGGGGUAGAGCACUGUUUCGGCAAGGGGGUCAUCCCGACUUACCAACCCGAUGCAAACUGCGAAUACCGGAGAAUGUUAUCACGGGAGACACACGGCGGGUGCUAACGUCCGUCGUGAAGAGGGAAACAACCCAGACCGCCAGCUAAGGUCCCAAAGUCAUGGUUAAGUGGGAAACGAUGUGGGAAGGCCCAGACAGCCAGGAUGUUGGCUUAGAAGCAGCCAUCAUUUAAAGAAAGCGUAAUAGCUCACUGGUCGAGUCGGCCUGCGCGGAAGAUGUAACGGGGCUAAACCAUGCACCGAAGCUGCGGCAGCGACACUAUGUGUUGUUGGGUAGGGGAGCGUUCUGUAAGCCUGUGAAGGUGUGCUGUGAGGCAUGCUGGAGGUAUCAGAAGUGCGAAUGCUGACAUAAGUAACGAUAAAGCGGGUGAAAAGCCCGCUCGCCGGAAGACCAAGGGUUCCUGUCCAACGUUAAUCGGGGCAGGGUGAGUCGACCCCUAAGGCGAGGCCGAAAGGCGUAGUCGAUGGGAAACAGGUUAAUAUUCCUGUACUUGGUGUUACUGCGAAGGGGGGACGGAGAAGGCUAUGUUGGCCGGGCGACGGUUGUCCCGGUUUAAGCGUGUAGGCUGGUUUUCCAGGCAAAUCCGGAAAAUCAAGGCUGAGGCGUGAUGACGAGGCACUACGGUGCUGAAGCAACAAAUGCCCUGCUUCCAGGAAAAGCCUCUAAGCAUCAGGUAACAUCAAAUCGUACCCCAAACCGACACAGGUGGUCAGGUAGAGAAUACCAAGGCGCUUGAGAGAACUCGGGUGAAGGAACUAGGCAAAAUGGUGCCGUAACUUCGGGAGAAGGCACGCUGAUAUGUAGGUGAAGUCCCUCGCGGAUGGAGCUGAAAUCAGUCGAAGAUACCAGCUGGCUGCAACUGUUUAUUAAAAACACAGCACUGUGCAAACACGAAAGUGGACGUAUACGGUGUGACGCCUGCCCGGUGCCGGAAGGUUAAUUGAUGGGGUCAGCGCAAGCGAAGCUCUUGAUCGAAGCCCCGGUAAACGGCGGCCGUAACUAUAACGGUCCUAAGGUAGCGAAAUUCCUUGUCGGGUAAGUUCCGACCUGCACGAAUGGCGUAAUGAUGGCCAGGCUGUCUCCACCCGAGACUCAGUGAAAUUGAACUCGCUGUGAAGAUGCAGUGUACCCGCGGCAAGACGGAAAGACCCCGUGAACCUUUACUAUAGCUUGACACUGAACAUUGAGCCUUGAUGUGUAGGAUAGGUGGGAGGCUUUGAAGUGUGGACGCCAGUCUGCAUGGAGCCGACCUUGAAAUACCACCCUUUAAUGUUUGAUGUUCUAACGUUGACCCGUGAUCCGGGUUGCGGACAGUGUCUGGUGGGUAGUUUGACUGGGGCGGUCUCCUCCUAAAGAGUAACGGAGGAGCACGAAGGUUGGCUAAUCCUGGUCGGACAUCAGGAGGUUAGUGCAAUGGCAUAAGCCAGCUUGACUGCGAGCGUGACGGCGCGAGCAGGUGCGAAAGCAGGUCAUAGUGAUCCGGUGGUUCUGAAUGGAAGGGCCAUCGCUCAACGGAUAAAAGGUACUCCGGGGAUAACAGGCUGAUACCGCCCAAGAGUUCAUAUCGACGGCGGUGUUUGGCACCUCGAUGUCGGCUCAUCACAUCCUGGGGCUGAAGUAGGUCCCAAGGGUAUGGCUGUUCGCCAUUUAAAGUGGUACGCGAGCUGGGUUUAGAACGUCGUGAGACAGUUCGGUCCCUAUCUGCCGUGGGCGCUGGAGAACUGAGGGGGGCUGCUCCUAGUACGAGAGGACCGGAGUGGACGCAUCACUGGUGUUCGGGUUGUCAUGCCAAUGGCACUGCCCGGUAGCUAAAUGCGGAAGAGAUAAGUGCUGAAAGCAUCUAAGCACGAAACUUGCCCCGAGAUGAGUUCUCCCUGACCCUUUAAGGGUCCUGAAGGAACGUUGAAGACGACGACGUUGAUAGGCCGGGUGUGUAAGCGCAGCGAUGCGUUGAGCUAACCGGUACUAAUGAACCGUGAGGCUUAACCUUACAACGCCGAAGCUGUU
This 2929-nucleotide ribosomal RNA is filed under the name Escherichia coli. Its description in RNAcentral is "23S ribosomal RNA". It matches the Rfam family "Bacterial large subunit ribosomal RNA". The record is from RNAcentral. Lineage: Bacteria; Pseudomonadati; Pseudomonadota; Gammaproteobacteria; Enterobacterales; Enterobacteriaceae.